GGGCUCUUAGCUCAACGGUAGAGCGUCCGCUUUGCAGGCGGAAGGCUGCGGGUCCGAAUCCCGCAGAGUCCA
RNAcentral lists this transfer RNA (72 nucleotides) under Microcaldota archaeon. Its description in RNAcentral is "tRNA-Ala". It matches the Rfam family "tRNA". Rfam says of the family: Transfer RNA (tRNA) molecules are approximately 80 nucleotides in length. Their secondary structure includes four short double-helical elements and three loops (D, anti-codon, and T loops). Lineage: Archaea; Nanobdellati; Microcaldota. The record is from RNAcentral.